AUGCUGCGCUGCCACAUCCCGCCGCAAUGCGGCCCGGCCCCGCUCGGCCGCCGCGGCCUGCCCCGGGCGUCGGCGGCGGUGCGCUGCGCCGCGCGGGCCCCGUCGCGGGGGACCGUGGCGGCGGCGGCGCAGGUCGCGGCGGCGGUGGCCACGGCCGAGGGGCGCGAGGGGGUGGAGCGGCCCGGCCUGGCGGAGCGGCUGCGGAUGGGGAGCCUCCUCGAGGACGGCCUCUCCUACAAGGAGAGCUUCAUCGUGCGCUGCUACGAGGUCGGCAUCAACAAGACCGCCACCGUCGAGACCAUCGCCAACCUCCUCCAGGAGGUAGGGUGUAAUCAUGCACAAAGCGUUGGGUUCUCCACCGACGGUUUUGCCACGACUACAACAAUGAGAGAACUUGGACUCAUUUGGGUCACAAAUAGGAUGCACAUUGAGAUCUACAAAUACCCUGCUUGGGGUGAUGUUGUUGAGAUUGAAACAUGGUGCCAAGCUGAUGGAAAGAUCGGUACUCGGCGUGAUUGGAUCCUUAAGGACUUAGCUAAUGGUGAAGUUAUUGGAAGAGCUACCAGCAAGUGGGUCAUGAUGAACCAAAAUACACGCAGACUUCAAAGAGUCAGUGACGAAGUCAGGGAUGAGGUGUUUAUCCACUGUCCAAAGAGUCCAAGAUUAGCAUUCCCUGAGGAAAAUAAUGGCAGUCUGAAGAAGAUUCCUGUUCUAACAGAUCCUGCACAGCACUCGAGGCUCGGUCUAGUGCCUAGAAGAGCUGAUCUGGACAUGAACCAACAUGUCAAUAAUGUCACUUACAUUGGUUGGGUCCUCGAAAGCAUACCUCAAGAUAUUAUUGAUACCCACGAGUUGCAAACAAUCACUCUUGACUACAGAAGAGAAUGCCAGCAUGAUGACAUAGUCGAUUCUCUCACCUAUAUAGAGGAAGGGGAUGAGAUAAAUUCUAAUGGAUCUCUGUUUUCAGCGCCGCACCCAGAAGAGCAGCGCCAGUUCUUGCACUGCUUGAGAUUUGCUGGGGCUGGGGAUGAGAUCAACCGUGGUCGCACCGUGUGGAGGAAACUAGCUAGAUAG
Molecule: ribosomal RNA, 1074 nt
Filed under: Triticum aestivum (bread wheat)
Lineage: Eukaryota; Viridiplantae; Streptophyta; Magnoliopsida; Poales; Poaceae
Description: partial small subunit ribosomal RNA
Source: RNAcentral